This 414-nucleotide ribosomal RNA is filed under the name Triticum aestivum (bread wheat). RNAcentral describes it as "partial small subunit ribosomal RNA". The record is from RNAcentral. Lineage: Eukaryota; Viridiplantae; Streptophyta; Magnoliopsida; Poales; Poaceae.
AUGAUUCUUCGUUCAUUAUCAUGUCGAUUCCUCACAAUCGCUCUUUAUGAUGCUGCGGAACCAUGGCAAUUAGGAUCUCAAGACGCAGCAACACUUAUGAUAAAAGGAAUCAUUGACUUACAUCACGAUAUCUUUUUCUUCCUCAUUCUUAUUUUGGUUUUCAUAUCACGGAUGUUGGUUCGCGCUUUAUGGCAUUGCAACGAGAAAACUAAUCCAAUCCCACAAAGUAUUGUUCAUGGAACUACUAUCGAAAUUAUUCGGACCAUAUUUCCAAGUGUCAUUCUUUUGUUCAUUGCUAUACCAUCAUUUGCUCUGUUAUACUCAAUGGACGGGGUAUUAGUAGAUCCAGCCAUUACUAUCAAAGCUAUUGGACAUCAAUGGUAUCGGAUCAAGUUUGGGGGGAGAACUACCUAA